AACUUCUGAAUGUUGACCUCGGAUCAGGUAGGAAUACCCGCUGAACUUAAGCAUAUCAAUAAGCGGAGGAAAAGAAACCAACAGGGAUUGCCCUAGUAACGGCGAGUGAAGCGGCAACAGCUCAAAUUUGAAAUCUGGCUUUCGGGCCCGAGUUGUAAUUUGUAGAGGAUACUUUUGAUGCGGUGCCUUCCGAGUUCCCUGGAACGGGACGCCAUAGAGGGUGAGAGCCCCGUCUGGUUGGAUGCCAAAUCUCUGUAAAGUUCCUUCGACGAGUCGAGUAGUUUGGGAAUGCUGCUCUAAAUGGGAGGUAUAUGUCUUCUAAAGCUAAAUAUUGGCCAGAGACCGAUAGCGCACAAGUAGAGUGAUCGAAAGAUGAAAAGCACUUUGAAAAGAGAGUUAAAAAGUACGUGAAAUUGUUGAAAGGGAAGCGUUUAUGACCAGACUUGGACUUGGUUAAUCAUCUGGGGUUCUCCCCAGUGCACUUUUCCAGUUCAGGCCAGCAUCAGUUUUCGCCGGGGGAUAAAGGCUUCGGGAAUGUAGCUCUCUUCGGGGAGUGUUAUAGCCCGUUGUGUAAUACCCUGGCGGAGACUGAGGUUCGCGCUUCUGCAAGGAUGCUGGCGUAAUGGUCAUCA
Molecule: ribosomal RNA, 632 nt
Filed under: Fusarium acuminatum
Lineage: Eukaryota; Fungi; Ascomycota; Sordariomycetes; Hypocreales; Nectriaceae
Description: eukaryotic LSU rRNA
Rfam family: Eukaryotic large subunit ribosomal RNA
Source: RNAcentral